Anolis carolinensis (green anole) is the source of this 4043-nucleotide long non-coding RNA. The record is from Ensembl. NCBI's taxonomy places the organism in Eukaryota, Metazoa, Chordata, Lepidosauria, Squamata, Anolidae.
AUCUCCCUCUGAGCCGGGAUGUGGGGUCGCAGGUCAAGCAGGAACCGGAGGAGAAGCCCAUCAAGGAGGAGCCCUUGUCCCCUGGGAGUCCCGCCGAUGAGUCUUUUAUUCCGGUCUGUAUCAAGCAAGAGGAAGAGGAGCAGGAGCAGAGCAUGGAAGACCAGCCAUACCUGGUUUACUUCGCAGACCACAGCCGGCAUCUCGCAAGGUCCGCCGCAGAGCAGGGCGAGGUCCCGCCGACGGGGUCUUCCGAGUCGUCGUGCGGGAAGGACCCCGAGCCCAAGGAUGCGGAGGUGCAGGGCUGCCUGGCGCACUGCGGCAUGUGCAACCAGAGCGUGUCCAACCGGGAGACGCUGGGCGACCACCAGUACAGCCGCAAGCGCAAGUUCCACUGCACGGAGUGCAACCGCAGCUUCGCCUUCCAGGGCCAGCUCUCGCAGCACAUGCUGGUGCACCUGCAAGGGAUCCAGCUGCACUGCGACCACUGCAACCUGUGCUUCUCCAGCCAGAAGGCCCUGGCGGUGCACAAGCGCGUCCACCUCCUGGACUGGCCCCUCCACUGCUCCAUCUGCAACUGCAGCUUCUCGGACGCGGCCAGCUUCGACCACCACCAGCAGAGCCACGGGCCGGGCCAGGUGCGCCGCUGCCUGGAGUGCAACGUCUACUUCACGGACUCGCUGGCGCUGCAGGAGCACAAGCGCACCCACGCCGAGGACUGGCCCUUCCGCUGCGCCCAGUGCGACCGGACCUUCGUGCACGAGGGCCUGCUGCGCGAGCACCUCCUCAACCACAGCCGCACGCGCAGCCGGCGCUGCCACAUCUGCGGCUCCUGGCUCUCCUACCGCGGCAUGGAGCUCAGCGAGGGGCAGCUCUACUACUGCCGCAAGUGCAAAACCUCCUGCCACGUCCAAGGCAGCCCCGGGGCAGUGGCGGCAGCGGCAGCGUGCAACCCGGACAAGGACAGCGCUUAGGGUCCCUGCUCGGUCCUAUAGGUCACAGCCCCAUCCUCCUCGCAUCCUAGUAUCCCGUUAUGUGUUUCAAUGCACAUCCCCACACGUCACAGUCUGGUUUUCGCCCUUCCUGGAUGCCUUUCUCUGCAUCCCAAGAGGACAGAAGCAACCCAAGCGAGGGAAAUACAUAGGCCACUCUCUGUUCUGUAGGUCACAGCCCUAUCCCUUAUCAGACCCCACAUUCUGGUAUGUGUUUCAAAACAGGGAAUCCUGUUUUGAUCCCAAGACAAGGAAGCACUAUUCCGUUGCCUUCAAGAAAGGGCUCGUAGAGGCCUUCCAGGACAAGAACCUGAUGGCUUUCUGCAAAGAGAAGAAGCUGGGUCUCCGGAUGGUCCGGAGAUGGUGCGCCGAGUAUGACGAGGGGAACACCGAGCAGCGCAAGUGCAGAGGGUCAAUCCGGCAGCCCUUGUUUCCUGAGCUGGAAGCCCUCCCCUGUGGAUGGACGGCCAAGCAGAGAGCAAAGUCCUUGGUGGUGCGCAGGAUUGGCAUCCAGGCGUUUGUCUUUGCAGUGGCCCCGUAGUUGGAAAUAUCCCCAAAAGACCUCAAAGCCUUGCAACCCUGGCUGGAUGGCUUCCUCCAGAAAUACAGACUGUCUCUUAGGAAGAUGGACAGCACUGCUCAAGAGGGAAGAUGAUGGAGUGACUGAGCGUGCCCUUGCACUCAAGACCUUUGUGGCUGGCCUCGACUUUGCUAUAUAACAAUAAAUAUAUUACUCCCCUAUCCCUGCAGCUCGAGGCGGGACACAACAUCAUGUAAACAAGAGAUUAAACACUAUUAAAAUCACAGCCAACAGGAUAGACAAAGUGAAAAUACAAGUUAAAAUCCGAUUUUUUUUUUCCGUGUUGGGAGCAACCGGAGUUGCUCUGGAGUGAGAGAAUUGGCCGUCUGCAAGGACGUUGCCCAGGGGACGUUGCCCGGAUGUUUUACCAUCCUUGUGGGAGGCUUCUCUCAUGUCCCCGCAUGGAGCUGGAGCUCAGAGAGGGAGCUCAUCCACACUCUCCCCGGGUGGGAUUUGAACCUGGCAGCUUUCAGAUCAGCAGCCCAACCUUCAAGUCGCGAGGCUUUUAUCCCCUAGGCCACUGGAGGCUCCAACAGGAUAGACAAAGUGAAAAUACAAGUUAAAAUCCGAUAAAAUGCAGAUUAAAAUUCACAAUUUGAACAGACUGGGUAGGCCUUGGGCUGGAAGAGAUGGGUCUUCAGUUGCAUCUUCAAUUUCGACAGCUGAUUUAGCUGUCUGAUCUCUUCCAGGUCAUUCUAGGCUUCUUGAGGAGGCCAUCCUGUAGGCAACCUGGAGGGUUUUCAAGAUCAAAACCAACACUUUGUACUUUGCCCGGAAACUAAUUAACAGCCAGUGGAGUGACUUUAGGAUUAGUGCAAUAUUCUCAUUCCUAGGUGUUCCUGUAACCAGUCUGGUUGCUGUAUUUUGAACCAGCUGGAGUCUCCAAACUUGGUACUCCAGAUGGACGCCUUGCAGGAGUCCAACCUUGAGGUUCUCACCAUCUUUGUCUUCCAAAUCAAGGAAGGGGCGCAGCUGGCGCAUUGGCUGAAGCCGAUCAUAAGCACUCCUGACCAUGGUUGCAUCUGCCUGGGCUGACCUUUGGAGAGACAGAUCCAGGAUCCUUUGUCCCAAGCUGCCUCCAGAUGAUCUCCCAGCAGUUUCAUGGGACAGAGUGGUCCCUUAUGGGAUGAUGCCAGAUAACUGCUCCAGUAGGCUGUUUGGAAUUGUGGGAGUUGAAGUCCAAAACACCUGGAAGGCCAAAGCUUGCCCCAUGCCUUUGCUACAGGAAACCGAAUCCCAAGGAAUUCAACCCGGACUUUGGUAUUUAAUAAUGUUCCAGAAGAAAUUGACAUGACUGUAUUUCAAUAAAUGUAGGUUGUUGUACAUGAAUAAAUGUAGAUUGUUGUGCAUCCCGCAAAAAUAAUGUGUCUUUUGCAGAAAAAAAUUAAUAUAAGACCCGGUCUUAGUUUUGGGAAAAUACCGUAGAAUCCUAGAGUUGGGAGGGACUCCAGUGGUCACCUGGUCCAAUCCCUUUCGUAGGAAGACAAUCCAAUCCCUCAAAACAGAUGGCCAUUGUGAUUCCAGUAAAGGGUUACUUGUCCCUUGGCAAUUGUUCGCCCCUGAUGUAUGGAUACGGAUUGUUGUUGGUUGAUCUACUGUAGAAUCAUAAGAUUGGGCAAGCUUUCCAAUAUUUAAAGAUGACUCUUAAAAUACGAGGGUUAUCCAGAAAGUAGAUUACGUUUUGGAAUUAAAGAUGAAUAAAGUAUAGGAGAAAACGUUUACCAUAUGCAGUUGAAAGCCAUACCCAAAUACCACUUCUCAACAUAGUCGCCAUUCAAAUCUAGGCACUUAUCAUAGUGCUGAAUGAGCUUGGCAACUCCUUCCCCACAAAACUCUGCCGCUUGCGUCCUCAAAAAGUAUAGGAGAAAACAUUUACCAUAUGCAGUUGAAAGCCAUACCCAAAUACCACUUCUCAACAUAGUUGCCAUUAACAUCUAAGCACUUAUCAUAGUGAUGAAUGAGCUUGGCAACUCCUUCCCCACAAAACUCUGCCGCUUGCGUCCUCAAAAAGUAUAGGAGAAAACAUUUACCAUAUGCAGUUGAAAGCCACACCCAAAUACCACUUCUCAACAUAGUUGCCAUUAACAUCUAAGCACUUAUCAUAGCGAUGAAUGAGCUUGGCAACUCCUUCCCCACAAAACUCUGCCGCUUGCGUCCUCAAAAAGUAUAGGAGAAAACAUUUACCAUAUGCAGUUGAAAGCCAUACCCAAAUACCACUUCUCAACAUAGUUGCCAUUAACAUCUAAGCACUUAUCAUAGCGAUGAAUGAGCUUGGCAACUCCUUCCCCACAAAACUCUGCCGCUUGCGUCCUCAACACAGCAUUUUGGCAACGAUGCGCAGCUGCAGAAAGGGGUGACCAGCUGGUUGAGGACGCAAGCGGCAGAGUUUUGUGGGGGAAGGAGUUGCCAAGCUUAUUCAUGCCUAGAUUUGAUGGGGGAAAAAGGUUGAGAAGAGGGAUUUCGGUGUGUGCUUU